Panicum virgatum (switchgrass) is the source of this 462-nucleotide long non-coding RNA. RefSeq lists it as uncharacterized. The record is from RefSeq and is a predicted model, not a curated record. The transcript is spliced from 2 exons. Lineage: Eukaryota; Viridiplantae; Streptophyta; Magnoliopsida; Poales; Poaceae.
GCUUUGGCUGGGCUAUUUGCAUUGUUUUGUUGACCAGAUCUGAACUUCUCUUCAGACAGGGGAAGUGAGGUGAAGCUUACCUUCCUGCAAGUGUGCAAACAUGUGGAUGUAUGUUCUACAACUUUUCCACACCAGAUGAAAUGAAUCUUGGUCCUGUCACCCUCCGAUGUUUGUGUAUCAAUUGCUUUUCUCCGAUCCAAAUGCUUGCGCUGGGAGAGAAAAGCAGUGUUGGCACUUCACCAUGUUUGUCUGAUCAGGGAUUCAGAAAACUCAAAGGAACUUGAUGAAUGCUGCUUUUGAGCGGAGAGCAAAAACAAGCAUUGACAUAAAGUUGUUGCAUCUCAUGCUGAAUUUGGUAAUGAUGGAUGCAAGUGCUCUUUAGACCACCUAGGCCUAAUUAACAAUCUGCUAGUAGAGUAGUAGCUAUUUCAGGCUACUGACCCAGUGCUUUAUCCCCCCAAA